Molecule: long non-coding RNA, 3367 nt
Organism: Rhinopithecus roxellana (golden snub-nosed monkey)
Lineage: Eukaryota; Metazoa; Chordata; Mammalia; Primates; Cercopithecidae
Exons: 4
Source: RefSeq, a predicted model, not a curated record
CUCUGAAGAGCAGGGGACUCUCUGGCUCUGGGGUUCACUCGUCUUGUCUUCUGCGUCUAUACCCUGGGGCCAUGUCCGACCCCAUUUUUCUUCUAUACAAGACCCUGAGUGAAGUUUUAAUCUGGGGGCAAUGGAGACUUGCCUGUCCCAGCCUAGGAGGUCCUAAGGAUUCAUAGUUCCUCUCCUUGUCCAAGAAUCUAGGGACGCAGACACCUUCCUGAACUGACCUUACACAUGGGAACUAUUGUCUUCCUUCAGCCUUUUAGCUUAUUCUAGUUAUUUUGAAAGGCAGCUAAUUGAAUCUGCAUUUGUCUGUUGUUGAGGUCACACUCUCUGUUCCAGAACUGAGAGAGUGACUGUUUCUUAAUUUCCUGUUAUGCAAGGUGUGUCCCCCGCACUGUCCUCGUGCCGAUAUUCUGCAUCAGGCUCCAGGAUCUCAGACAGGACAUGAGCAGGGGCACAGCUGCUGGAGGUGACACUCAACCUGAGCCUGUUCUUCCCAGAGACACAGUCUGAUUCUACUCAGAGCAAGAUGCUGACAGGAGCCGCGGGCUUCGUGCUGGGGCUCAUCAUCUGUGGAGUGGGCAUCUUCAUGCACAGGAGGAGCAAGAAAGGAAAGAAGACAACCAUGAAAAUGGGGAUAUCCAAGCUAUUGUAUAAGGUGGCCCGUUGGACAUGGACCUCUCCUGGAUUUACUGUAUUUCAGUGAGCUGCCCCAUCAUCGUGUUUGGUGUCUUCAUCCGUUCAGGUCUGAAGUCACUAUUCUUAGCUAUUCAGUGGUGAGCAGACUGCAAAUCUGUGUUGUAGGACCCAUAUUGACAUAGCACUGAUUCGACAUAUAACUUACUAAGAGCAUGUAUUAGCAUUACUGUUAAGAAAUUAAAUGAGCAUCAGAAUUUAAAAUGACAAAUACAGUCUAACACACUUUCAACAUUUUCUCUGCAUGCCAUCACAAAUACCCCUUAACCAAAUGUUGCUUGGCCUUUUGAAUGCAUCCAGCAGACAAAAUUUAUCCUGUAAGUCUGCAUUCAUUCACCAGCCUAGACCUCCUGAGCUAAUAAUUCAUACAGAGAGAAACACCUCCCCGUUGUUGAAAGUGCAAAGCAAUAUGUGCAGCACUCUUUCAAACACUGAUCUUUUUUUUAACAGUCCAAAAUUGUUAUGUGUUUUGCAUUUCAUAUUAAGUUACUGUAAAUUAAGGUAGAAGACAUGUUUGGUCUAAGCUUUUCUUUUCAUGUAGAGGAUGGAUUCUUAACUCCUGAUACAAAUAAUGAGCACUCAGUGGCUCUCUGAUACAUCCAGUUGUUGGCUUCCUUCUCCCUGACUUCUCACAAGCAGCUUCUGGGCCUUGUGUGCCUGGGCACCUUAUCCCUGGUCAGUUUCCCAGAGCUACCCGUGUUCCUCUCACUAUCCAAUCAGAGUCAUCCCCUUCCAUUUUUGUCCCCUGGAAACAUGCUGUAGGUGUCAGCGGUACCCAGAGUGGAGUGAACAAUCUCCAGACUAACUCUUGCAGGAUGCAAAACUGAGGUAUCUGCACCCAUAAUGUACCUGUAUCCUACAAUUACAGGUCCAGGAUUUGCAUUCCUAGGGAACAGAGAAUAUAAGCAGUCACAGAAAGGCAUCAGAUGUGUCUAGCUCUGACAUACACAGGUAUUUAUUGAACUCUGGGAUUUCUCAGGAAAAAUGCGGUGCAGAGAAAGGUCCCUGAUGAGACCACAGCAUACAGACCAUCCAGUGUAGGCACCACCUUGUCACUAUACUUUAAAUUCUUCAUAUUGAUUGAGUGCUAUCUAAAUAUCAGACCCUUUGCUGAGUGCUAGGUGCAGGAAGAUCACAGGCAGCCAGGAGGUGGAGGGGUCUUGGGGUACAUAAGUCAUUGUGGUUGAAGAGCAGAGAUUCAAAAGAAAGCUAGGCUGGGAGCUUCAAAGGAGACCUGAAGCUGGUCACUUCCUUAUGUCAACUUCUGACUGAGAAAGUUUGACAUCUGGAGUAGAGCAAACACAGUGGGGUUAGGACUGCCAGCUUAGUGUUGUGUCCCCCCUCCCUUUCCAUCCCUGGUCCCUUCAUUUUCUGCCCCUCACAGCGUGAAUAAACUCUGACAGAUGCCAGACUAUCUCCUUCUUGUCCAGGUGCACAAAGAACUGCUCGUCUUCAUCAAAUUCAAACAUAUACUCCCCAGAGGGUCUGUGUGUCUGCACAAACUCUGCAUACUUUGACACAGUGUCUGCUGCAUGAAGGGGAAGAAGACUGCAGAAUGGUGAACGUGUAGGAAACUACACAGAAUACAGGAAGCAAGCAGGCCACAAGUGCCAGCAGCUGCACAGAUACUUCUCUGUUUAGCCACUUCAGAAUCUGAGAGAGAACUUACCACGAUUCCCAGCUGCUCCGAGUGAGAAAGAGACACAAUGAGCCCGGAGUCUACCUCGCUAGGUCACUCAGCACUCCUGGGGGUCGUUAGAAGCUCUACUUCCAACCCCACUUCUGACACCAUCUAAUAAAAGAAGAACUUCAGCCGAAUAAAUUUUAAAUGAGGUUAAUUGGGCAAUAAACAAUUCACAAAUCGGGCAGCCCCCAAGCCAGAGUAUGCUCAAAGCCUCCAGCACAGCCGUGUGGUGGAAGAAAGUUUAUGGACAGAAAAAGAAAAGUAACAUACAGAAAACAGAAGUGAGGUACAGAAAGUUGAGGUUACAGCUCAAUGUUUGCCUAACUUGAACAUGGUUCAAACAGUUGGCUGCAUGUGAUUGGCCAAAACUUGGUGAUUGGCACAACUGUGGGCUACGGUCUGUUUACACCUCCACUUGUUAUAGUUCAUGAUGUACAGAGAAACCUUUAGGCCAAACUUAAAAUAUGUAAGGAGGCAGCUUUAGGCUAAACUUGAUUUAACAGAAGAAAUUAUUUUACAUAUUGGGGAACUGACCACAGAAAUAAAGUAACUUGCCCAAGUCACACAAUUCCUGGUAAAAACAAAAUUGCAUAGUCCCCCUACCCCAUUCCCAUAGGGUCUCAGAGCCCCUACAGGACCAGACAUAAAGAAUACUGAUAUAGCCACAGAGCAAGGCAGGGAAGUGGGGAGAUGAAAUCAAAAUCUUUCGGGGAAAAAAUAAUGAAGGACGUGAAAAGACCUCCAGAGUCUUAGUGCUAUUUAUAGACUUCAAGUUAUGUUCUUACUUUUAGAAUAAAAAUGGUAUAAUUUUAUCAAAACACUUUCAUUUUAAAGCAUAGUAAAUUUAAAAGUGUUGUCAUUCACAUAGCAUUCACAAAAUGUUCUUGUUGCAUGUAUAUUUUCAAGUGUAGUUUUACCUGGAAAUAAAAGUUGUUGCAUUUGAAACACCUGUGGGAUAGUAUCUUGGCUUUACCUGAUGUAUAA